RNAcentral lists this transfer RNA (69 nucleotides) under Dacnomys millardi (Millard's rat). RNAcentral's name for it is "tRNA-Asp". Lineage: Eukaryota; Metazoa; Chordata; Mammalia; Rodentia; Muridae. The record is from RNAcentral.
GAGAUAUUAGUAAAAGUGAUUACAUAACUUUGUCAAAGUUAAAUUAUAGAAUUUAAUCUAUAUAUCUUA